UCCGCUGUAGCACACCGG
This 18-nucleotide non-coding RNA is filed under the name Arabidopsis thaliana (thale cress). Lineage: Eukaryota; Viridiplantae; Streptophyta; Magnoliopsida; Brassicales; Brassicaceae. The record is from RNAcentral.